AUUUCAUUUCUUCAAUUUUUAUUUAUCAUUUUCACAAGGAGGAGCGUCGCCCUUCAAAUACUGUUUUAAUGACCUUUCAUGCUGAGAGCAUUGAAUAUUUGAUGUGCAGAUUUUAUAUCAUCUAUGAUAAUGUAUAACAGGUCAGAGGUCAUCCAAUAUGGACUGACCACCUAAAUCUUGCUAAAGAUUCCAUUAUAAAGCAGUGUGAAGGAGGUUUUUGUACGACGCUUUCACUAGAAUGAAGCACUGUGGUGGACCUUUGGUGGAGGAACUAAACUUGUAAUCGCUCAUCCGGCAGUGAAUCCCUCCGUGUCUCUGCUGCCUCCCUCUUCUCUGCAGAUCUCUGGAGACUCAGCCGCACUGCUCUGUCUGCUCAGCUCUUACGCUCCACAGGGGGCGCAGGUGAGCUGGACGCUGGACGGGUCAGAGGUCACCGAGGGGGUUCAGACCAGCGAAGAGAGCGAGCGGGACGGACUCUACAGCCUCAGCAGCGUCCUGAGCCUCAGCAAAGCACGCUGGGAAGCCGGCGAGCGCUUCGUCUGCAGAGUAACACAUGACGGAGCUGCUCGGGAGACCACGUUCCUCAUGAGCUCCGAGUGCUGAUGUUUCUCCAGUGAAGAGCAGCAGGAUUCACAGCAGUCUCCUGAUUUACAGCUCAAUACUCAAGCAGUCUUUCAAUGUGCUGCCAUUGCUGUUCAUUCAAUAAAGCUUCUGAACGCCUUC
This is a long non-coding RNA of Carassius gibelio (silver crucian carp), 723 nucleotides long. RefSeq lists it as uncharacterized. The transcript is spliced from 3 exons. The record is from RefSeq and is a predicted model, not a curated record. NCBI's taxonomy places the organism in Eukaryota, Metazoa, Chordata, Actinopteri, Cypriniformes, Cyprinidae.